This 253-nucleotide ribosomal RNA is filed under the name uncultured Eubacteriales bacterium. RNAcentral describes it as "uncultured Clostridiales bacterium partial 16S ribosomal RNA". It matches the Rfam family "Bacterial small subunit ribosomal RNA", at positions 524 to 776 of the family's 1533-position model. The record is from RNAcentral. Lineage: Bacteria; Bacillati; Bacillota; Clostridia; Eubacteriales.
UACGUAGGGGGCAAGCGUUAUCCGGAUUUACUGGGUGUAAAGGGAGCGUAGACGGUUGUAUAAGUCUGGAGUGAAAGCCCGGGGCCCAACCCCGGGACUGCUUUGGAAACUGUGUAACUUGAGUACAGGAGGGGCAGGCGGAAUUCCUGGUGUAGCGGUGAAAUGCGUAGAUAUCAGGAGGAACACCGGCGGCGAAGGCGGCCGCCUGGCCUGUUGCUGACGCUGAGGCACGAAAGCGUGGGGAGCAAAUAGG